Molecule: non-coding RNA, 398 nt
Organism: Pelobates cultripes (western spadefoot toad)
Lineage: Eukaryota; Metazoa; Chordata; Amphibia; Anura; Pelobatidae
Source: the annotation of a GenBank genome assembly
GUCCCUUGCGUGUGGUUUCUGUUAUGCAUAAUCUAUCAAAGCUAGUCAUUGGAGCCUUAGCUACUUCUCUUACUCUAGGAUGGUUAGCGAAGUGCCUUAGUUGUAUAUAUCUGAAAAAGUCUCUAGUCUGUAGUGGCGCUGCCUGUUUUAGUUCGUCAAAGGUUUUGAAUGUGUCUCCGUCGUAUAGGUGAUAGUAUCUCUGCAGGCCUGCGUAUUCCAGACCUUUGAAGUCCCUCGCCCGCAUACUUGGUGCGAAUGCCCUAUUUCUCAAAUAUGGGGUGAGAGGUGAGGGCAUUCUCGUUAGAGCAUAUUUUUGUGCGUUGGCGUCCCAUACUGUAAUGGAGUUGAGUAUAGCUGGGCAGUCUGUGAGUAAGGGUGGUCUGUCUGAUUUUGGUACC